UUUAACUGAAGAGUUUGAUCAUGGCUCAGAUUGAACGCUGGCGGCAGGCUUAACACAUGCAAGUCGAGCGGGGAAGGGUAGCUUGCUACCUGACCUAGCGGCGGACGGGUGAGUAAUGCUUAGGAAUCUGCCUAUUAGUGGGGGACAACAUUCCGAAAGGAAUGCUAAUACCGCAUACGCCCUACGGGGGAAAGCAGGGGAUCUUCGGACCUUGCGCUAAUAGAUGAGCCUAAGUCAGAUUAGCUAGUUGGUGGGGUAAAGGCCUACCAAGGCGACGAUCUGUAGCGGGUCUGAGAGGAUGAUCCGCCACACUGGGACUGAGACACGGCCCAGACUCCUACGGGAGGCAGCAGUGGGGAAUAUUGGACAAUGGGCGAAAGCCUGAUCCAGCCAUGCCGCGUGUGUGAAGAAGGCCUUUUGGUUGUAAAGCACUUUAAGCGAGGAGGAGG
RNAcentral lists this ribosomal RNA (449 nucleotides) under bacterium LRH843. RNAcentral's name for it is "bacterial SSU rRNA". It matches the Rfam family "Bacterial small subunit ribosomal RNA", at positions 1 to 450 of the family's 1533-position model. The record is from RNAcentral.